Molecule: ribosomal RNA, 234 nt
Filed under: uncultured bacterium
Lineage: Bacteria
Description: partial 16S ribosomal RNA
Rfam family: Bacterial small subunit ribosomal RNA
Source: RNAcentral
GAUCCUGGCUCAGGACGAACGCUGGCGGCGCGCCUAACACAUGCAAGUCGAACGGAGCUAUGUUGAAAGCUUGCUGGAUAUAUAGCUUAGUGGCGGACGGGUGAGUAACACGUGAGCAACCUGCCUUUCAGAGUGGAAUAACGUUUGGAAACGAACGCUAAUACCGCAUAACGUCAGAGGAUGGCAUCAUUCUUUGACCAAAGAUUUAUCGCUGAAAGAUGGGCUCGCGGCCGA